This 253-nucleotide ribosomal RNA is filed under the name uncultured bacterium. RNAcentral's name for it is "partial 16S ribosomal RNA". It matches the Rfam family "Bacterial small subunit ribosomal RNA", at positions 524 to 776 of the family's 1533-position model. The record is from RNAcentral.
GACGAACCGCCCGAACGUUAUUCGGAAUCACUGGGCUUAAAGGGAGCGUAGGCGGGCUACCAAGUCCGGGGUGAAAUCCUCCAGCUUAACUGGAGAACUGCCUCGGAUACUGGAAGUCUCGAGGAGGAUAGGGGCAAGUGGAACCGUGGGUGGAGCGGUGAAAUGCGUUGAUAUCCAUGGGAACUCCGGUGGCGAAGGCGACUUGCUGGAUCCUUUCUGACGCUGAGGCUCGAAAGCCAGGGGAGCAAACGGG